This 253-nucleotide ribosomal RNA is filed under the name uncultured bacterium. RNAcentral's name for it is "partial 16S ribosomal RNA". It matches the Rfam family "Bacterial small subunit ribosomal RNA", at positions 524 to 776 of the family's 1533-position model. The record is from RNAcentral.
UACGUAGGCAGCGAGCGUUGUUCGGAAUUACUGGGCGUAAAGAGUGUGUAGGCGGUGCUCUAAGUUCGGUGUGAAAUCUCCUGGCUCAACUGGGAGGGUGCGCCGGAAACUGGAGUGCUUGAGCGUGGGAGAGGAAAGCGGAAUUCCUGGUGUAGCGGUGAAAUGCGCAGAUAUCGGGAAGAACACCCGUGGCGAAGGCGGCUCUCUGGGACGGUACUGACGCUGAGACGCGAAAGCGUGGGGAGCGAACAGG